Molecule: ribosomal RNA, 388 nt
Filed under: Paromoionchis penangensis
Lineage: Eukaryota; Metazoa; Mollusca; Gastropoda; Systellommatophora; Onchidiidae
Description: partial 16S ribosomal RNA
Rfam family: Bacterial large subunit ribosomal RNA
Source: RNAcentral
AUGAAUAUUUGAAUGGCCGCAGUACCCUGACUGUGCUAAGGUAGCGUAAUCAGUUGGCUUUUAAAUGAAGUCGAGAAUGAAUGGGUCCACGGGGGCAAGCUGUCUCUUUUUGUUUUAAUGAACUUAUUUAGAAGGUGAAAAUCCCUUCAGUAAGAAAAAAGACGAGAAGACCCUUAGAGUUUUUAGAAUAACUACUGUUUGUGGCUUUUUUUUGCUGGGGCGGCAAGGAGACAAAUUAACUCUCCUUUAUAAUUUUGAAGACGUAAAUUAUAAGAGGCAUUAAACUACCUUAGGGAUAACAGCAUAAUUAAUUAUUAGUUUGUGACCUCGAUGUUGGACUAGGGAUAGUUUUGGUUAGCAGCCAAAAGGGUUGUUCUGUUCGAACGUU